RNAcentral lists this ribosomal RNA (440 nucleotides) under Penaeus monodon (black tiger shrimp). RNAcentral's name for it is "partial 16S ribosomal RNA". It matches the Rfam family "Bacterial large subunit ribosomal RNA", at positions 1918 to 2558 of the family's 2925-position model. Lineage: Eukaryota; Metazoa; Arthropoda; Malacostraca; Decapoda; Penaeidae. The record is from RNAcentral.
UAUUUUUAAAGGGCCGCGGUAUACUGACCGUGCGAAGGUAGCAUAAUCAUUAGUCUUUUAAUUGAAGGCUUGUAUGAAUGGUUGGACAAAAAGUAAUCUGUCUCAGUUAUAACAGUUGAACUUAACUUUUAAGUGAAAAGGCUUAAAUACUUUAAGGGGACGAUAAGACCCUAUAAAACUUAACAAUAAUUUGAUUAAAUUAUAAAUUGUUAGUAUAACUUGAUUUUAAUUAAUGUUUGUUGCGUUGGGGCGACGGGAAUAUAAUUAGUAACUGUUCUUAAAUAUUUUAUUAACAAGUAUAAUUGAAGAAUAAUUGAUCCUUUAUUAAAGAUUAAAAGAUUAAGUUACUUUAGGGAUAACAGCGUAAUCUUCUUUGAGAGUCCUCAUCGACAAGAAGGUUUGCGACCUCGAUGUUGAAUUAAGGUAUCCUUAUAAUGCAG